CCCUUAGAUGUUCUGGGCCGCACGCGUGCUACACUGAGUGGAUCAGCGGGUCAGGUUGCGCGAAAGUGUUUCCUAAUCUUGAAAUCCGCUCGUGAUGGGGAUUGACGGUUGCAAUUUUCCGUCAUGAACGAGGAAUACCUUGUAAGCGCGGGUCAUCAUCCCGCGCUGAAUACGUCCCUGCCCUUUGUACACACCGCCCGUCGCUCCUACCGAUUGAGUGGUCCGGUGAGGCUUUGGGAUCUGAGCGGAAAGAGCGUUUCGCUGUUUCUGCUCGGAAAACUCAGUCGAACCUUAUCAUUUAGAGGAAGGAGAAGUCGUAAC
RNAcentral lists this ribosomal RNA (321 nucleotides) under uncultured eukaryote. RNAcentral describes it as "partial 18S ribosomal RNA". It matches the Rfam family "Eukaryotic small subunit ribosomal RNA", at positions 1470 to 1795 of the family's 1831-position model. The record is from RNAcentral.